UGUAUCAACUAUAGUGAGACAGUAGUGUAGUUGAAUAGAGUUAACUGAGGUUGUAUCAACUAUAGUGAGACAGUAGUGUAAGGUUGAAUAGAGUUAACUCAGGUUGUAUCAACUAUAGUGAGACAGUAAUGUAGUUGAAUAGAGUUAACUGAGGUUGUAUAUAGUGAGACAGUAGUGUAGGGUUGAAUAGAGUUAACAGGUUGUAUCAACUAUAGUGAGACAAUAGUGUAGGGUUGAAUAGAGUUAACUGAGGUUGUAUCAACUAUAGUGAGACAGUAGUGUAGGGUUGAAUAGAGUUAAAUGAGGUUGUAUAUAGUGAGACAGUAGUGUAGGGUUGAAUAGAGUUAACUGAGGUUGUAUAUAGUGAGACAGUAGUGUAGGGUUGAAUAGAGUUAACUGAGGUUGUAUAUAGAGAGACAGUAGUGUAGGGUUGAAUAGAGUUAACUGAGGUUGUAUAUAGAGAGACAGUAGUGUAGGGUUGAAUAGAGUUAACUGAGGUUGUAUAUAGAGAGACAGUAGUGUAGGGU
Molecule: non-coding RNA, 527 nt
Organism: Oncorhynchus mykiss (rainbow trout)
Lineage: Eukaryota; Metazoa; Chordata; Actinopteri; Salmoniformes; Salmonidae
Source: RefSeq, a predicted model, not a curated record